UAAUUGCUCCCUCCGAUCCAUAUUAAUUGUCAAAAUAUUACAUGUAUCUAGACACUUUUUAGACAUAGAUGCAUCCAUAUUUGAGCAAAUUUGAGACAAUUAAUAUGGAUCGGAGGGAGUAGUAU
Brachypodium distachyon (stiff brome) is the source of this 125-nucleotide non-coding RNA. The record is from Rfam. NCBI's taxonomy places the organism in Eukaryota, Viridiplantae, Streptophyta, Magnoliopsida, Poales, Poaceae.